Chinchilla lanigera (long-tailed chinchilla) is the source of this 506-nucleotide long non-coding RNA. RefSeq lists it as uncharacterized. The record is from RefSeq and is a predicted model, not a curated record. The transcript has 3 exons. Lineage: Eukaryota; Metazoa; Chordata; Mammalia; Rodentia; Chinchillidae.
UAAUCAAGUGGAUUUCUGCUAUAAGGAUGAAGAAUCAUUGGAACCAAAAAGGAAAAUGAUACGUUGUUGUCUGAGAGCAAGAAGUAGGAAAUGAGGGCUUAUUCAGCUUUAAACGCAUCUGUUGAAAAUAUAUAAAUGCAGAGUGCUCUUAUUUGUUUCCAAGACGAAGAUAUUUUCAUCCCAAAUUUAUAUGAAAGACUCUGUUGGAAGAUGAAGACUGAGAAAUGGUGCUCAUGAUUUAUCAAGGUUUUACUAGAGAAACAGAUACAACACAAGGUAUACAAACGUAUAAGAGAUUACAAGUUUGGCUUACAAUGGUCAGUCACAGAGUGGGAUGAGGAAGCGUGCAGAGGGUGUCUGCACACUGGAGGCUUCUGUGCAAGUCCGUAUCAGGAGGUUGACAGGUCUGCGGUGGAACGCUGAAGAAUCUACACCAAAGGGUUGAAGGACCCAAGGCAGAAGCCCGAGUCUGCACUAGAAGCCAGGAGAUGAUGUCCAAACUGAAG